Passer montanus (Eurasian tree sparrow) is the source of this 413-nucleotide long non-coding RNA. RefSeq lists it as uncharacterized. The record is from RefSeq and is a predicted model, not a curated record. NCBI's taxonomy places the organism in Eukaryota, Metazoa, Chordata, Aves, Passeriformes, Passeridae. The transcript has 3 exons.
CCAGGGUCCCCAGGGCGGGUGACCCCACACCUUGGGAUCAUGGUCUCCUGGGGUGACCCUAACCCCAGGGGUGGCCCCAGUCCCGUGGGGUCACCCUGAUCCCAGGACAGGUGACCUCAGGGACAACCCCACACCUGUGGGGGGGCCACAUUCCCCAUGGAGUGACCCUGAUCCCAGGUGACCUCAGGGACAAUCCCACACCUGUGAGGGACCACAGUCCUGUGGAGUGACCCUGAUCCCAGGACAGGUGACCUCAGGGAAGGGGAUCACACCUGAGGGGCCACAUUCCCCUGGAGUCACCCUGACCCCAGGAAAGGUGACCCUAGGGACAGUCCCACACCUGGGGAGGGUCACAGUCUCCUGAAGUGACCCUGAUCCCAAGACAGGUGACCCCAGGGGAGUGGGUCACACCU